GAUGAACGCUAGCGGCAGGCUUAAUACAUGCAAGUCGAGGGGCAGCGGGGGUAGCAAUACCUGCCGGCGACCGGCAAACGGGUGCGGAACACGUACACAACCUUCCUUAUGGUGGGGGAUAGCCCAGAGAAAUUUGGAUUAAUACCCCGUAGAAUAGCAGUAAGGCAUCUUACAGUUAUUAAAGAUUUAUUGCCAGAAGAUGGGUGUGCGUCUGAUUAGGUAGUUGGUAGAGGUAACGGCUCACCAAGCCAACGAUCAGUAACUGGUGUGAGAGCACGACCAGUCACACGGGCACUGAGACACGGGCCGACUCCUACGGGAGGCAGCAGUAAGGAAUAUUGGUCAAUGGACGCAAGUCUGAACCAGCCAUGCCGCGUGGAGGAUGAAGGUCCUCUGGAUUGUAAACUUCUUUUAUCUGGGAAGAAAUGCUAUUUUUCUAAAGUGUUUGAGGUACCAGAUGAAUAAGCACCGGCUAAC
This 477-nucleotide ribosomal RNA is filed under the name uncultured bacterium. RNAcentral describes it as "bacterial SSU rRNA". It matches the Rfam family "Bacterial small subunit ribosomal RNA", at positions 28 to 501 of the family's 1533-position model. The record is from RNAcentral.